CGGAGGGAUCAUUACCGAGUUUACAACUCCCAAACCCAUGUGAACAUACCUACUGUUGCUUCGGCGGGAUUGCCCCGGGCGCCUCGUGUGCCCCGGAUCAGGCGCCCGCCUAGGAAACUUAACUCUUGUUUUAUUUUGGAAUCUUCUGAGUAGUUUUUACAAAUAAAUAAAAACUUUCAACAACGGAUCUCUUGGUUCUGGCAUCGAUGAAGAACGCAGCGAAAUGCGAUAAGUAAUGUGAAUUGCAGAAUUCAGUGAAUCAUCGAAUCUUUGAACGCACAUUGCGCCCGCCAGUAUUCUGGCGGGCAUGCCUGUCUGAGCGUCAUUUCAACCCUCAUGCCCCUAGGGCGUGGUGUUGGGGAUCGGCCAAAGCCCGCGAGGGACGGCCGGCCCCUAAAUCUAGUGGCGGACCCGUCGUGGCCUCCUCUGCGAAGUAGUGAUAUUCCGCAUCGGAGAGCGACGAGCCCCUGCCGUUAAACCCCCAACUUUCCAAGGUUGACCUCAGAUCAGGUAGGAAUACCCGCUGAACUUAAG
This 534-nucleotide ribosomal RNA is filed under the name Clonostachys rosea. Its description in RNAcentral is "eukaryotic LSU rRNA". The stretch from base 172 to 325 matches the Rfam family "5.8S ribosomal RNA". The record is from RNAcentral. Lineage: Eukaryota; Fungi; Ascomycota; Sordariomycetes; Hypocreales; Bionectriaceae.